Molecule: long non-coding RNA, 1061 nt
Filed under: Helianthus annuus (common sunflower)
Lineage: Eukaryota; Viridiplantae; Streptophyta; Magnoliopsida; Asterales; Asteraceae
Source: RNAcentral
AUGAAUGCUUUUUGUAUGUGUGUGAGCGUGUCGGAUACUUUUCCGAUUUUCCCUUUUACCACAUUAGUUUUUGCUUUUUUCUUUUGGACACUUGAUAACAACUCAAGUCCCCAACACACAUCCACACCUCAGUAACAAAGAGAGCGUUGGCAGGCAGAGAGAGAGAGAGCCGACGAGAGAAUGAAGGGCAUCCGGCGAAUAUCCGGUGAGUACUCCGGCGCGUGAGUGGUACCAAUCUAAGACUUAGAUCAUGGCAGUGAUCUCGAUUGUCCGAUCGUGCAUCGGUGAUGGUUAUGGCAGGACGAUAGACGGCGGCGAGCUUAUUGGCCGGAAAAGGGAACGACGGUGACAGAGCCUCACUUCUCUUGCUCUCUCUGGAUAACAAAAACGGGUUCUAAUAAGGGGCAACAAUGACCGGCAGCAGCGGAACAGUGAAAUUUUGAACAAGAUUACUUUCACCUAGACAAAGGUUUGAAAAUGUUGGAAGGAAGGCAAAUCACCAAAUAAAUUAAAAGCCUUGCACUACUGACAAGAGAAAAUUGCUGGAAGCUUGAAGUUGAAGCUGGUAAGGUUGAAUUGACUAGCGCUCAUUGGAUUGAAGAAACAAGAAAAAUCACAAAGUCCAAUAGAAGAUGGACAUGUUAGUAUUUAUUGUCACUUUGUUUUUUUUAUUCUAAUGCAACUAAGCUAUAUCAUUUGAAUCUAAGUGAAUGGAAUAGAUUGUUACAUUUAAUGCUUAAGGGUUUGUUCAUCCUUUUCAUCUACACUUCUUUUUAGAUUUUGUAUAUAGUCGAUUGCUUAUCUAUAUUAGUUUCUGUACAAAAGGUGGUGUCGGAGUCGCGUGUUUUUCAGUUUGAAUGAUGUGUGGUGAUGAUAUCAUUUUUAUGCGUGUAUUGCUCCCCAAGUGUGCCUUUAAAAGUAAGACCCAUGAGUUGAGAAAAACGUAGGACGAAACCAUUCAACCUUGAUCGUACUAGGCGGAAUGUUACAAACAGGCUUCGACUUUAUAUGAAACUUUUCAUUUGUAAGACCCGAGCCGCAACGCGGCGAGGAUAAAAUCU